This is a long non-coding RNA of Passer montanus (Eurasian tree sparrow), 275 nucleotides long. RefSeq lists it as uncharacterized. NCBI's taxonomy places the organism in Eukaryota, Metazoa, Chordata, Aves, Passeriformes, Passeridae. The record is from RefSeq and is a predicted model, not a curated record. The transcript has 3 exons.
GUGGCUCGGGGGGGUGACAGUGCCCGCGGUGUCCCCGCAGGCUCCCGCUGCUGCUGGCCCUUGUCACCGCGCUGCUCGCGGCCACCGCCGCCACCCACGGCCCCGCGGGUCCCCUGGACGUGGCGGUGUCGGGGGAGGGACAGACCCCAGAGCCCCCCGGUCCCGCCCGGCUGGAGGCGUCGGGAGAGAGUGAGUGGGGGAGGGGCGCGGACAACGGGGACCCCCGGGACCCCCAAAAAACCGCCCGGACCCCAAAAACCCCCAGGGACCCCAAA